AACCUGGUUGAUCCUGCCAGUAGUCAUAUGCUUGUCUCAAAGACUAAGCCAUGCAUGUCUAAGUAUAAAUGGUAUACAAUGAAACUGCGAAUGGCUCAUUAAAACAGUUAUAGUUUAUUUGGUAAUCGAAUUUACAUGGAUAACCGUGGUAAUUCUAGAGCUAAUACAUGCUGUAAGCCCGACUUUGCGGAAGGGCCGUAUUUAUUAGAUAACAGACCAAUAUUCCUCGUGUCUGUUGUGGUGAAUCAUAGUAACUAAUCGGAUCGCAUGGGAAUUUCCCGCGACAAACCAUUCAAGUUUCUGCCCCAUCAGCUUUCGAUGGUAGUGUAUUGGACUACCAUGGCUUUUACGGGUAACGGAGGAUUAGGGUUCGAUUCCGGAGAGGGAGCCUGAGAAACGGCUACCACAUCUAAGGGAGGCAGCAGGCGCGUAAAUUACCCAAUCCUAAUUCAGGGAGGUAGUGACAAGAAAUAACGGAUCGGGGCUUUGCCCUGGGACUGAAAUGAGAUGAAUUUACACCCCUUUUACGAGAAUCAAUUGGAGGGCAAGUCUGGUGCCAGCAGCCGCGGUAAUUCCAGCUCCAAUAGCGUAU
RNAcentral lists this ribosomal RNA (592 nucleotides) under uncultured marine eukaryote. Its description in RNAcentral is "SSU rRNA". It matches the Rfam family "Eukaryotic small subunit ribosomal RNA", at positions 1 to 602 of the family's 1831-position model. The record is from RNAcentral.